GACGAACGCUGGCGGCGUGCUUAACACAUGCAAGUCGAACGGAAAGGCCCUGCUUUUGUGGGGUGCUCGAGUGGCGAACGGGGGAGUAACACGUGAGUAACCUGCCCUUGACUUUGGGAUAACUUCAGGAAACUGGGGCUAAUACCGGGGAGGAGCUCCUGCUGCAUGGUGGGGGUUGGAAAGUUUCGGCGGUUGGGGAUGGACUCGCGGCUUAUCAGCUUGUUGGUGGGGUAGUGGCUUACCAAGGCUUUGACGGGUAGCCGGCCUGAGAGGGUGACCGGCCACAUUGGGACUGAGAUACGGCCCAGACUCCUACGGGAGGCAGCAGUGGGGAAUAUUGCACAAUGGGCGGCAGCCUGAUGCAGCAACGCCGCGUGCGGGAUGACGGCCUUCGGGUUGUAAACCGCUUUCGCCUGUGACGAAGCGUGAGUGACGGUAAUGGGUAAAGAAGCACCGGCUAACUACGUG
This 468-nucleotide ribosomal RNA is filed under the name uncultured bacterium. Its description in RNAcentral is "partial 16S ribosomal RNA". It matches the Rfam family "Bacterial small subunit ribosomal RNA", at positions 28 to 507 of the family's 1533-position model. The record is from RNAcentral.